CAGACCCUGAGCUGAGGAUCAACUGCAGGACGACUCGUCUCCCUUGGUGGCUUCCUUGUGUUGCGUCUGAACUUUUUCCAAAAGGCAGGCAGGAGAGAGAAGGUGGUGGAUUUUCCUCCCUGGGAUGUUUGGUAGUGGAGGCCGAAAGGGAGAUCUCCCCUGGAAGGGUCUUCUCUUGAAAUUUGUUCUUCCCACAAGGAAAAAACUGUUCUGGUCUUUGGGUCCUGAAGGGACAAUUCAGGGCCAUCGGCUGUGCAAAAGACCUGCCUCUCGUUCCUAGGGAUUCGCCCUCCUGCCUCCACUUCUUGGCUCUCCAUGAGGUGCAGCAAAAGGGGCUUUGGAAACAGGCCGAAGGAGCUCCGGUCAUUUCCACAUGGAGGGCAAGAGGAAAGAAGGACCGGAAGGCAACCCAGCCUCUCCUUCUGGGGCAUUCCCUCUCCAGGCAGGUCUUUUGCGGAGUGAAUGGCUCUGAAGGGUCCGUUCCAGAGAAAGUGAUCAUAAACUGCUUUCUUUUACAGCAGGGGCAGUUCACACCAAGAACCCCUCCCUCGGUUGCCACCUUUCCCAGCUCCUGUGAGGUUGGCAGUGAGCUCAAAGGAAAAACAAAGUCUAAGCAAGGUUGGGGGUUGGAAGACAACACGCCAGAAAAGUCCUGAGACCUGAACUCUGCCCAUCUUGGGUUGGCAACACCACGACACACGGCCCUUGGCACGGAGGCCGAGGAGCCCCUUUGGAGACGCCCCCUGUGUUGGGAUCCUUGAGGCGACAAAAAUAAAUGCUCCCCUGAGAACAGAGGGCCUAGUUCAACUGCCGGGUCGAGGCUGAGGUGAGUUGUCUUUGCUGUUUUUAGGGCCAAAACCGAAGAAUCAAAUCCCAGAUCCUUCCAACAUUUGCAAGAUGAUGACCAGGAGAAGAGGAAUUUCCCAGCAACACUUGGGGCAUCCUGGGAAGGAACUCAUAUUGAAGCAAGAAAAUGGAGAAUUUAAAUUGCAACCUCUAUUUCGCUACAGCUCCCAAGGCUGGAACUUGGAAUUUUUGGAUGAUCUGACUCACUGAAUUCCCCAAGGAUUCAAUGGGUCUCCUCGAGUGCACCUUAUGACACUAAGGAACAGGAUUUUGAUCUGGGAGUGCAACCACACUGAAGGAUGCUUUGUGAAGUUCGGAGCGCUCCCUUGAGGAAGCCUGCCGACCAGGAGCGGUUUAGACCAUCCCCCCCCCCGGUAAAUGAAGAAAAGUUAAACAAAGAGUUAAUGUUAUCUUGGACUGAGUCCCCAUUAAAUGUUGGCACAAUUGAUGCUAUUGAAAUUGGUGUGGACACUCUGGAUAUUAAACUUAAUAAAAAGUU
This is a non-coding RNA of Pogona vitticeps (central bearded dragon), 1345 nucleotides long. The record is from RefSeq and is a predicted model, not a curated record. NCBI's taxonomy places the organism in Eukaryota, Metazoa, Chordata, Lepidosauria, Squamata, Agamidae.